This 667-nucleotide ribosomal RNA is filed under the name uncultured bacterium. RNAcentral describes it as "bacterial SSU rRNA". It matches the Rfam family "Bacterial small subunit ribosomal RNA", at positions 8 to 710 of the family's 1533-position model. The record is from RNAcentral.
AGAGUUUGAUCCUGGCUCAGCCUGAACGCUGGCGGCAUGGCUAAAACAUGCAAGUCGAAGGAGAAGCGGGCUUCGGCCCGUGGACACUGGCGAAAGGGCGAGUAAUGCAAUCGAACGUACCCCGAGGUGGGGGAUAGCGUCGGGAAACUGGCGGUAAUACCCCAUACGCUCUACGGAGGAAAGCUCCGGCGCCUUGGGAGCGGCGAUUGUCCUAUCAGGUUGUUGGUGAGGUAACGGCUCACCAAGCCUAAGACGGGUAGCGGGUGUGAGAGCAUGACCCGCCGCAUCGGAACUGAGACACUGUCCGGACUCCUACGGGAGGCUGCAGUAACGAAUCUUCCGCAAUGCACGAAAGUGUGACGGAGCAAUGCCGCGUGUGGGAUGAAGCGGUUACGCCGUGUAAACCACUGUCAGGGUCUAGGAAGAACUGACCAGACCCAGAGGAAGGGCCGGCUAAUCUCGUGCCAGCAGCCGCGGUAAUACGAGAGGCCCGAGCGUUAGGCGGAAUCACUGGGCUUAAAGGGUGCGCAGGCGGGCAGGCAGGCAUCUCGUGAAAUCCCUCGGCUCAACCGAGGAACUGCGGGGUGAACCGCUUGUCUUGAGGAAGGCAGAGGCUGUCGGAACGUUCGGUGGAGCGGUGGAAUGCGUAGAUAUUGAACGGAACGCC